RNAcentral lists this unclassified non-coding RNA (617 nucleotides) under Hevea brasiliensis (rubber tree). Lineage: Eukaryota; Viridiplantae; Streptophyta; Magnoliopsida; Malpighiales; Euphorbiaceae. The record is from RNAcentral.
AAGACUACACAUGGUAAUAUACCUGCAAAAGAAUUAGAGUGAAGUUGUAGCAUCAGAAAAUCUUGUCAUUGCAAUCAUUUGUUGAAUUAUAUUAAAUCACAUGUUAGUAAAAUUUCCUCUUUUUUUUCCUUAACAUAAUGUGGGCCUAAAAAUGAUUCAAGACUUUGAGAUCCUCUGCAGAAACAGAGUUGGAUUGCACAAUUUUCAAGUCCACCUGGUUAUCAAUACAUGAUAGACACAAGUGAAUUCAUGUGUCUGAAGGUGCAUUUCAAUUGGGUGUUGAUGAAGAAAGCAUAUUGUUGCACUAAAAUAUUUGCAGAACAAAUAUAUGUGUAACAAGUCAAACAUGUUGCAACCUUCUUUAAUAAUCUAAGUUCUUGAUUAAGAGCUCAAAGAAAAUACACACCUAGUUGACUGUCUGCCUUACAUUGAAUCAAAAAAGGCUUUGCAUCUCAUAUCUUAUUAAUUUUGAAAUGGAAAGAAUUUCAGAACAUACAUUGAUGGAUAUACACAGACCAAGGUUUGAAACUUAGAAAAUCAAACAACUCCUUUGUCAAGCACCUCUAAUUUCUAAUCACUUGCCACCGAGACUUGGACACAAGGCCAUCUCAAACCAU